This 73-nucleotide transfer RNA is filed under the name Mesocricetus auratus (golden hamster). It matches the Rfam family "tRNA". From Rfam's summary of the family: Transfer RNA (tRNA) molecules are approximately 80 nucleotides in length. Their secondary structure includes four short double-helical elements and three loops (D, anti-codon, and T loops). The record is from Rfam by way of RNAcentral. Lineage: Eukaryota; Metazoa; Chordata; Mammalia; Rodentia; Cricetidae.
GGAGAGAUAGCUGAGUGGUUAAGAGUACUGUCUGCCCUUCCAGAGGGCCUGGGUUCGAUUCCCAGCUUCUCCA